AGAGUUUGAUCCUGGCUCAGAACGAACGCUGGCGGCGUGGAUAAGACAUGCAAGUCGAACGAGAGAAUUGCUAGCUUGCUAAUAAUUCUCUAGUGGCGCACGGGUGAGUAACACGUGAGUAACCUGCCCCCGAGAGCGGGAUAGCCCUGGGAAACUGGGAUUAAUACCGCAUAGUAUCGAAAGAUUAAAGCAGCAAUGCGCUUGGGGAUGGGCUCGCGGCCUAUUAGUUAGUUGGUGAGGUAACGGCUCACCAAGGCGAUGACGGGUAGCCGGUCUGAGAGGAUGUCCGGCCACACUGGAACUGAGACACGGUCCAGACACCUACGGGUGGCAGCAGUCGAGAAUCAUUCACAAUGGGGGAAACCCUGAUGGUGCGACGCCGCGUGGGGGAAUGAAGGUCUUCGGAUUGUAAACCCCUGUCAUGUGGGAGCAAAUUAAAAAGAUAGUACCACAAGAGGAAGAGACGGCUAACUCUGUGCCAGCAGCCGCGGUAAUACAGAGGUCUCAAGCGUUGUUCGGAAUCACUGGGCGUAAAGCGUGCGUAGGCUGUUUCGUAAGUCGUGUGUGAAAGGCGCGGGCUCAACCCGCGGACGGCACAUGAUACUGCGAGACUAGAGUAAUGGAGGGGGAACCGGAAUUCUCGGUGUAGCAGUGAAAUGCGUAGAUAUCGAGAGGAACACUCGUGGCGAAGGCGGGUUCCUGGACAUUAACUGACGCUGAGGCACGAAGGCCAGGGGAGCGAAAGGGAUUAGAUACCCCUGUAGUCCUGGCAGUAAACGGUGCACGCUUGGUGUGCGGGGAAUCGACCCCCUGCGUGCCGGAGCUAACGCGUUAAGCGUGCCGCCUGGGGAGUACGGUCGCAAGAUUAAAACUCAAAGAAAUUGACGGGGACCCGCACAAGCGGUGGAGUAUGUGGCUUAAUUCGAUGCAACGCGAAGAACCUUACCUGGGCUUGACAUGUAAUGAACAACAUGUGAGAGCAUGCGACUCUUCGGAGGCGUUACACAGGUGCUGCAUGGCCGUCGUCAGCUCGUGUCGUGAGAUGUUUGGUUAAGUCCAGCAACGAGCGCAACCCCUGUUGCCAGUUACCAGCACGUGAAGGUGGGGACUCUGGCGAGACUGCCCAGAUCAACUGGGAGGAAGGUGGGGACGACGUCAGGUCAGUAUGGCCCUUAUGCCCAGGGCUGCACACGUACUACAAUGCCCAGUACAGAGGGGGCCGAAGCCGCGAGGCGGAGGAAAUCCUAAAAACUGGGCCCAGUUCGGACUGUAGGCUGCAACCCGCCUACACGAAGCCGGAAUCGCUAGUAAUGGCGCAUCAGCUACGGCGCCGUGAAUACGUUCCCGGGUCUUGCACUCACCGCCCGUCA
RNAcentral lists this ribosomal RNA (1370 nucleotides) under uncultured bacterium. RNAcentral's name for it is "bacterial SSU rRNA". It matches the Rfam family "Bacterial small subunit ribosomal RNA". The record is from RNAcentral.